Molecule: long non-coding RNA, 204 nt
Filed under: Vicia faba (fava bean)
Lineage: Eukaryota; Viridiplantae; Streptophyta; Magnoliopsida; Fabales; Fabaceae
Source: RNAcentral
AUGAUAGGUUUUGAUGAGGCUAAGCAACAUGGUUCCGUGAGUCGACUAGCAGAAAAUAUGGAGGCUAAGAUCAUUGACCCUGUUACUGGAGAAACAUUAUCUCCUGGCCAAAGAGGGGAGCUUUGGAUUAGAGGAUCAACGAUCAUCUCAUAUAAUUAUUUAAAUUGGAGGAGCUUGACGGCUUCAGGUCUUGGACAUUACUAA